AUUGAACGCUGGCGGCAUGCUUUACACAUGCAAGUCGAACGGUAACAGGCCGCCAGGUGCUGACGAGUGGCGAACGGGUGAGUAAUGCAUCGGAACGUGCCCAGUCGUGGGGGAUAACUACUCGCAAGAGUAGCUAAUACCGCAUACGAUCUAUGGAUGAAAGCGGGGGACCGUAAGGCCUCGCGCGAUUCGAGCGGCCGAUGUCAGAUUAGGUAGUUGGUGGGGUAAAGGCUCACCAAGCCAACGAUCUGUAGCUGGUCUGAGAGGACGACCAGCCACACUGGGACUGAGACACGGCCCAGACUCCUACGGGAGGCAGCAGUGGGGAAUUUUGGACAAUGGGCGCAAGCCUGAUCCAGCAAUGCCGCGUGCAGGAAGAAGGCAUUCGGGUUGUAAACUGCUUUUGUACGGAACGAAAAGGCUCUGGUUAAUACCCGGGGCUAAUGACGGUACCGGAAGAAUAAGCACCGGCUAACUACGUG
This 482-nucleotide ribosomal RNA is filed under the name uncultured bacterium. RNAcentral describes it as "partial 16S ribosomal RNA". It matches the Rfam family "Bacterial small subunit ribosomal RNA", at positions 30 to 507 of the family's 1533-position model. The record is from RNAcentral.